Molecule: ribosomal RNA, 265 nt
Filed under: uncultured bacterium
Lineage: Bacteria
Description: partial 16S ribosomal RNA
Rfam family: Bacterial small subunit ribosomal RNA
Source: RNAcentral
GCAAGUCGAGCGAGAAGGUUAAGAAUGAUUCUUCGGAUGAAUGAUUAACUAGAGAGCGGCGGACGGGUGAGUAACGCGUGGGUAACCUACCCUAUGGAGGGGGAUAACUAAGAGAAAUUUUAGCUAAUACCGCAUCAGCCGAAGAGUUCACAUGAACUCUUCGGGAAAACUCCGGUGCCAUAGGAUGGACCCGCGUCUGAUUAGUUAGUUGGUGAGGUAAGGGCUCACCAAGGCAACGAUGGGUAGCCGACCUGAGAGGGUGAUC